AGAAUCAACGCUGGCGGCGUGCCUAACACAUGCAAGUCGAACGAGAAAGGGUAGCAAUACCUGAGUAAAGUGGCGCACGGGUGAGUAACACGUGACUAACCUACCCUAGAGUGGGGGAUAACUGAGGGAAACCUUAGCUAAUACCGCAUAAUACCCACGGGUCAAAGGAGCAAUUCGCUUUAGGAGGGGGUCGCGGUCGAUUAGUUAGUUGGCGGGGUAAUGGCCCACCAAGACUUUGAUCGAUAUCC
This 248-nucleotide ribosomal RNA is filed under the name uncultured bacterium. Its description in RNAcentral is "partial small subunit ribosomal RNA". It matches the Rfam family "Bacterial small subunit ribosomal RNA", at positions 26 to 288 of the family's 1533-position model. The record is from RNAcentral.